CCUGGAACCUGCGCCAGCUCGCUUUUCAAACUGAUUCACUGGCAACAGAAAAGGAAGGGAAAAAACCCUAAGGUCUUAGGGUGCAUUUUUUUCAUUCUCUUUCUACAGCUUAAAGGAGGGUGAAGGUCUGAGACGGGAUUUGCAGCCGUUGAAUAAUAACCAGAAAGGGAGAUUAACCAGCACUGAGGGUGCUUCCCUUGACCAGAAAUGCAAUACAUCCAGCCAGCCAAUCCCCAAACGCCAAGCCAGCUCUGUGCUCUUUACUUACGUCCUUGCUCCUUCUCACCCCAAUCAAGUUUGACUAUGUGGCCCCAGCCAACCAGACAGGAAAAUCGACCCUGUGCAUCUUUUACCUACACUGGAAUGACCAUUGGGCAAACCCCCUCCUUUUUCUACUGCAAGAGAGCCCAAAUUUCAAGGCAUGCUGCAGGUCCAAACAAGGAAAAGCAGAGGACAAAGAAGAGGAUAGGGAGGAACAAAG
RNAcentral lists this long non-coding RNA (481 nucleotides) under Equus caballus (horse). Its description in RNAcentral is "lncRNA (ENSECAG00000057281.1)". Lineage: Eukaryota; Metazoa; Chordata; Mammalia; Perissodactyla; Equidae. The record is from RNAcentral.